AACGCGAGCCGACGCAGUGACGCCAUCCUCCGUCGACAGGCAGUCGUACAGGAGUCGCUAGGAUAUAAAGGCGAUCGCGCUUUAACGGAGAAGCAUCGUGUGCGUUCUUCAAGUCGGUCACACAUCACAUCAUUCCAGGGGGAUUUUAGUCUCUGCAGAAGAUAGAUGUUUAAUAGAAGCUCUCCGCGGCGCGGGGGCUAGAAGAGUGCGCGCACCGCUCCUGCUGCGGUUCAGCGGAGGAACAGGCUUAGUUUGCGCUUCUUAAACUUCAUCAAGGAUUGUUUAAUUAACCCUCUCGGAGAGGAGACCCGGGGGAACACACACGAGCUUCGCUUUCCGUCGCCCUCACCUGAUCACCAGAGGUGGAGAACCACACUUGAAGGACUCUCAGCUGCUAGACGUGUGAAUCGUAAGUAACUAAAUGAUGUGCAAAAUUUACCUCCUUUUACUGAAGAAAAACC
This is a long non-coding RNA of Sinocyclocheilus grahami, 461 nucleotides long. Lineage: Eukaryota; Metazoa; Chordata; Actinopteri; Cypriniformes; Cyprinidae. The record is from Ensembl.